AAAGUUUAUUUGCUAUAGGCACUGGUGGGAAUCUUGGGGGGGGGGACAAAAAACAACAAAAACAAAACUCUCUACACCCACUAUAAAUGUUCUUCUGUUUGCAUUUCUGGUAACUAUGAUGAACCAGACAAAUAACUCUCAAAACGAAAUUGGAUAGCUUUAUUUUACAAACGUGCAAAGUUUAUGAAGCAGGGUCUGCAUCUAAUUAUUACCAGUGGCAUUUGCACUAAAUGUGGUGAUAAUCUUUUACAAUUUAUUCUGUAAAUAAAAUGUUACACUAAAAAUACUUGUAGUAAAAAGAUAAGCAAUGAUCAUUUUAGUAAUGAUCUUCAGUAAAAGACUGGUACUUUAUUGGAGAUAACCCUGCCCAGUCAGAUUUAGAAUUGAGUUCAGAAAUACUGAAAGUAUUCAAACAGUCAAAGUUAGGAGGAGCACUGGCGACGUUAUAAUAUUCAGACCGUCAAGAAUUACUUUCAUUUGGCUAAUCCCUACAUAGUGAAUAUUUAUUGUUUCUUCAUAACCUGGGUAUCUAUCUUAGCCUAAGCCCCCAUCCCACACACCCCCAAAACAAGCCCCUUUACUCAAUUCUGCUGGAUUAUUCUGUGAUGUUAGACACCUGAAAAAUACUGGUGAUGUGGGGAUUUGUCCCUGCGUGUGAGUGAGCAUAAGGAGGGAGCAGAGUGCUCCUCCUGGGGUUGAGGACUCCAUAUUGGAGGUAGAGAAACUUGACUUGGUGUUGCUACAGGAGGAGCGAGGGAGGAACCUGACUAAGAGAGAUGUGUGGAGGCCAAGUGAGGUACAGGAGGCAUGGCUCUCAACUGUCCGUUUCCAUGACUACCUAUACACCUAUCCAAUAUCAGUGUCAGUCGCUACAGAAUUUUAACUGGGCUGAGCUGGCUCUCUUGUGAAAUUGUGCCGGUUAUCUUCAGACGUCUCAGUUGUUUGUCCGAUCAGACGCGUGACCAGUAUGUGGUCCAGGCUGUACAGGUGAUGUAUUUGGAUUGUCGUCGUUGUUCAUCUACAGACUCAAAACAUAAUCAUUUUAAAGUACCUUGGGAGUGUGUAGAGUGUAACUAUAAUAGCUUUAUGAUUCUGAUGAUGUUUUUUUAAAAAUAUAAAAGAUGGAUCUUCCAUGUUACAAUCACAAAAUUAAAACCAGUAUUUAAAAGUGGAGAAGUAUUAAAAUAUUACAAAUAU
RNAcentral lists this long non-coding RNA (1197 nucleotides) under Mus musculus (house mouse). Its description in RNAcentral is "long non-coding RNA chr13:96638965-96640162". Lineage: Eukaryota; Metazoa; Chordata; Mammalia; Rodentia; Muridae. The record is from RNAcentral.